This 253-nucleotide ribosomal RNA is filed under the name uncultured bacterium. RNAcentral describes it as "partial 16S ribosomal RNA". It matches the Rfam family "Bacterial small subunit ribosomal RNA", at positions 524 to 776 of the family's 1533-position model. The record is from RNAcentral.
UACCGAGGUGGCAAGCGUUGUUCGGAAUUACUGGGCGUAAAGGGCGCGUAGGCGGCCUUAUAAGUCAGACGUGAAAUCCCCCGGCUUAACCUGGGAACUGCGUCUGAUACUGGGAGGCUUGAGUAUGGGAGAGGGAUGUAGAAUUCCAGGUGUAGCGGUGAAAUGCGUAGAUAUCGAGAGGAACACCAGUGGCGAAGGCGAGUCCCUGGACAACACCUGACACUGAGGCACGAAAGCUAGGGGAGCAAACAGG